This is a non-coding RNA of Schistosoma mansoni, 45 nucleotides long. The record is from Rfam. NCBI's taxonomy places the organism in Eukaryota, Metazoa, Platyhelminthes, Trematoda, Strigeidida, Schistosomatidae.
AUCCAGCCGAUGAGUCUCAAGCACGACGAAACGCACGUCCUGAAU